Molecule: long non-coding RNA, 4941 nt
Filed under: Sarcophilus harrisii (Tasmanian devil)
Lineage: Eukaryota; Metazoa; Chordata; Mammalia; Dasyuromorphia; Dasyuridae
Description: lncRNA (ENSSHAG00000023563.1)
Source: RNAcentral
CAGGAAUAGAAAAUUAAUGUAAAUUGGUAUGAUUUUAUUUAAUCAAAAUUAUUGCUAUGAGCUAUGGAAAACAGCUUUUAUAAAGCAGUUGGAACUUUUUUUCACUUGAUUUGGAUUCAGAUUGCUUCGGUGUUCUAAAAUGCUUUGAUUUUCAGUUCUUGGUCUUGGAAAUAAAUUUCAAGGUGUAGUUUAUAUCAGCUGCUUUUUUUCCCCUCUAAACUAUGUGAGCAAGUUCUAGGGGAGGAUGUUUCUAUUCCUCCCCUUCCCCUCCAGAAAAAGGGAGAAGAGUAUACAUUUUUUUUUUUAACAAGUUACAUGGGUUUUGUCAAAAAAAAAAAAACAAAAAAACAUCAAUCAUGGUGAUUGAUCACCAUGUGAUCCACCAAUCAUCAUUGGUUACAUUGUAUUUCGCUAACUUGUCAAUUGGCAUGAUAUAACAGCUUGUUAAAAUAAAUUUGUUUUUCAAUUUUAGGAAUAAACUAAUGUGGGUUUAUUCCUAUAACUGGAAAACCCAAGUAUCCUUGGAAAGGGAUGCACUCAUUGAAGAAUGUUCUAUAGAAAACAUACUUUUUUCAAAAUUCAGAUUUGCCUUACUAUAUUUGUACUGUUAGGAUUUGGUUUUAAUUUAAUUUUUUUCUUAUCACUAUAAUUACUGUACAUUUAAAAAAAACCCUACCUCCAUUAAUAUUUGAAAAAGUUCCACUUUCAGGAAAAAAACUAAUUUUUUUUUUUUUUUUUUUUUUAAAGGAAAGCUACUCUUUGCUCAGUAGAGUGUGUUUGAAGGGAACAAGCACUUUCAAAUGAAAAUUUCAGUUUAUAUAAAUAUAUAUGGUGAAAAAAAAUUCUGGUGGGAUCAUUUGUCUUGGUUUUAAAGAGAUUUUAUUAAAAGUGCUCAAUCCUAUUAGGCUUUAUACACAGAACAAUAAGUACAUUAAAAAAAAUAGGAUUGGUGUUGGUGAAUCCAUAUAACACUGAGGGUGACAGCCUUUGGAACAGACGGUUUUUUUAAACUUAGUUUUCUUUUAAAUUCUGACUUUUGAUGAUAAGAGUACCAAUCAUAGUGGUACUUUGUAUGCUUUAAAGAAAGUUGAACUGAAACAAUAGAUUGAUUGCACAAAAGUCCUUAAAUAUAAUUUAGUUGAUGGUUCAGAGGUGAAUGCUGUAAUAAGCUAACGAAUACUCAGUGUGAUUAGACCAGUCACACACAGUUGUAAAGAAGGCAAGAUGUUAUACACAAAUCAGACUAUCAUCGCCUUGUCAGACCAGUAAAAUAACGAAUAUAAAUAUUUUUUUCCUUUCAGAUUGACCAGUUUCACUGAAUCGACUGAAUUGGUUGUUGGCAUUUUGUAGACAAGGCCUUAAUUAAAUGACUGAGUUAGAAAGCCACAUGAUUAUACAAUUAUUUAACAUAUUCCAUACAUGUUACACUUUUUUUACUGGACGGAAAAAUUAUUUUUCCCAAUUGAAACUAUUGAACCAUAACAACCCACUAUCAAAAUUGAUUAGCAUUUAAAAUGAAAUUUUUAAAAAUAAAUUAAUUUCCCCCAUGAUUUUUUUAAUAUUAGAUAUCCAUCAUUUUAAGGCACGACUUAAAUUUGAAUAUAAUUAUAGUAUCAUUAAGUUUGUAAAUGACAUUGAAAACCACAGCUAAAACUGAGCAAAAUGGGUACAACUUUCUUUUAAAAGAGUGUUGCCUAUUAAAGAUUGAUAGUUUGACAGUCUCUACACCUAAUGUAGUUUCAUCACGGACUAUAAAGAAGCUGUACAUAUUAGUAUUAAAGAAGCUAGUGGGUAUGUACUUAAUGUGAGAUCUAAUAAUCUUGCAUUGAGAUCCACAUACUCAUAAGGUCCCAAUUCAGAAAACAUAUUAGUAUUUCAGGUUAAAACUAGCAACAACAAAUUGUUAAUUUUCUUUUUUAAAUUUUGUUUAAGGAUUUCCCUCUUUUUUUUUCUCCCCAUUUGCUUGACAGAUCUACACAAAGGAGUUUGUCUUUGUCACUUAGGUUUUAACUUAGCACUGUAUGCUGGCAUUGGCUUGAUGUGUAAGUCUGGAUAUGUGUAUCACAGUGCUCCCAAAUCAUGAAAUUCCUCAUUUUCCUGUAGUGGAGACAUAAUCUAAUUGGCAUAGUGCAUCAAAAUUAUUUUUCAUUGCACCAUGACAUCAGUACAAUUGAGUGCUAUAAUGUUACAGGGCUGUCAGGUUUGUAAUAACAUAACCAUAAAUUACAUUGGAGUUGGAUAUGAGUGGGGUAUCUAUAAAAUAUCACGUGUAUUUCAAAAAUAUUGAACUGCUGUUUGAUUAUAAUGCUGCAUUAUUUUCUUCUGUUCCUUAUCCUUUGGAGAAAGGGAUUAUAAUGAAGUUUGAAAUGUGCAAGCUGUCUAAACAAGAUGCAGUCAAAUAAAACAUGGUUAAGUUGUGUUUGCAUUUUUCUUUUAAAUGCAGAUGUGUUUUUUUGUGAUCUGGAAGCUUGGUUUUUGCCAGGUAGGAAAAUGCCCUGAUCCCUCCCCAUUAACUAUUUCUUAAAUGAAUCAGAGACUUGCUUAGAGGAAAAAAAAAAAUAGGAAUCAUUCACUUUCUACUUAGAAUAGUUUUACUUAAGUAAUCAUUUUGAAUAUUAAUUAUAUGAGCUUUAUUUUCCAAAAGGAGUACAUGAAAAAUGAGCCAUCUACAUUUGAGUAUUAUAAGUUAUGCUAGGUGCUUUUGCUCUGCAUUUAACACUCAAUUGUUUCUAUUAUAAAGAUUUUUUAUUUUUUUGUUGAGUUUGUUGCUAAGGUACUUUUCUUAUAUUUUUGUUUACACAGAAAUCACUAGACUUAAGUGACUUGUCAACUGAGACUUCAAGAUAGAAAAAAAGGCAGACACUGCCUCAGCAAACACAUUGUAAUUUUUAAUGAUUUUAAUAUAUUAGUGUUAAAGUGAGAAUUGUCAGUAUCAAUCAUCAAUGGGAGUAUUGGGUGAGUCUUGUUGGCCUUUAUGUAUGAAAAAUCCUCUUGUGAUACUGUUCAAUAAUCGAAGAAAAGGAUUUGAAUAUGUAAAUUUUAUUUGCUGAGAUUUCAGUGAUACUAGAUUUUUCAUACAUCCAGUUAAUGUUCUUAGUGUCAAAAUAAUUAGAAAAUGGAAUGUAAUCUUUUGCAAUUACAGGUAAAAACCAAUGUAAAAUGGUUAACCCAAAGAUGUAGUAAUCUUUCAGAAAUCUUUAUUUUAAAAAAAUCCUUAAAAUGUCUUAAUGAAAUCUGUUAUCUUAAUAGAACUUAGUGGUACUUUAGUUGCUGUAAAUCCUCAUUCUGAACAUUGACUUUUGAGAAAAGUAUUUGAGAAUAGGCUAUUAAGAGCCCAAACCUUUCAGCAUUCAUUACUUGUAUAUUAAAAAUAUUAAGUUGAAAAAAAAACUGCCUUUGUUGGGAGGAAAAAUGUGUAGUUAAUUCUCAUUUACCUUGAUAAUAUGUUUGACAUAGAACUUUUCUGUCUCUGAUAUUGAAGGUUUUGUGACUUAACUACCCAGAGGCAGGGCCUUAUUUUUGGUUAUGUUGAAGUUAUCUGUGCUUUUCAGAAAAGAAAAAAACAAAAAACAGCCUUAAGUGCCUACAUUUUACUUCCUCUAUAAUAUUUUUUAUGAAAUAUUUUCCUUUUAAAUCUCUACCCACAAUAUUUAAUCUUAGAAAUUUUACAUUUUAGAUAAAUUUUUAGAUACUUUAAACUCUGUCAUUUUUGUAGAGGUGGUCAAUUCAUAGUAUAAAGCAUAAAGUGUGUAGUAUGUGACUAAUGAAUUGUAACCCCUGCUCACAUUGUUGGAAAUUAGAGUUUUCGAAUUACAAGUCUAUGGCUGAUUGAAAUUCAUUUGGUUCAGCUCAAGUAGUUCUUGGGGUCAGUGUUGUCCUGACAUGGUAUUAAAAAAAAACAUAACACCAGACUCCAGUUGGUCACCUUAAGUAAUACCUGUGCAUUAAAUCACAAGGGCACAAAGUCAAAUAGCGGGUGAUAGCUUAGAGUCACUAACAGCUGGUCCUGGGGAAAAAAAAAAUUUAAAGCACAAAUUCUUUUGAUUUUGAAUCAGUUUAAUUUUUGUUUAUAAGACAGUACAUAUUUUACAUUUUUGAAAAGCCUAAACUAGAAAUAUAAGGCACUGAAAUGUGUUAACUGUUCUUUUAAAAAGUUUUUUUGAUGCCUUUUCUUUGUAUUUGUCAUUUUUGGAAAUUUCUUUCCCCCUGUUUCUAACCCUUCAGAUUUGAGCCCACCCUUACUUAAAAAAAAAAAAAAAAAAAAAAACACUCAAAAACUACCAGUUCAGUGCACUGGUAAAUACAAGAUUCUUUCCUGGGAAUUAUUCUAUCUUGUUGAGGGGAUGGAGGAAUAUUUUGUCUGCUUUCUAGCACUCUUAUUCGUGUUUCAACUGCUCAAAGUUCAACUCCUUUUUAGUGACCUUUUCAUUUACAUUAUAUAUUUGUCAUUUAUAUAAUUUUUGGUCUGCUUAUUUCCUACUACAUCAGUUCAUAUGAUCUUCUAGUGUUUCUCUGAAUUCACUUUUGUAAUUCCUUACUGGAUAAUAUUCCAUUACAUUCAUAUGCCACCUUUGUUUAGUCAUUUGCAAGUUGAUGAGUAUGUACUUUGUUUCCAGUUACCUGCUACCUUAAAAACUACUGCUGUGAAUAUAUUUGGUACACAGUGGGCCAUUGUUUUUCUUUGACCUCCAUGGGGGAAGUGUUCUAGCUUUUAAUCAAAUUUUAAAUAAUAUUUCAAUAGGGUACAGUCAUUUAAUAGUUCUCUCCAACUAAUAAAAGCGCACCUAUUGCGAUUGUGGAAAAAAGUGAGAUGUUAAUAUUAAAAGUUGGAGAAAUUAAUCCUAUGAUAUUUUCUAUUUGAGGAGUGUUAUAUUAUGCCAAAUAAUAAUAAUAAUAAUAUACAAUGUACUAGAUAAUGGAUUUUCUGUUAUAAGAUAGCUG